Long non-coding RNA from Sinocyclocheilus grahami, 452 nucleotides. RefSeq lists it as uncharacterized. The transcript is spliced from 3 exons. Lineage: Eukaryota; Metazoa; Chordata; Actinopteri; Cypriniformes; Cyprinidae. The record is from RefSeq and is a predicted model, not a curated record.
UGUGCGAACUGAUUCGAACGAAUCAGAUUAAAACUAAAGAUUGUUGAGGCACUUUAAAAGGAGCGACUGCUUGAAAAUUUUGUUUGUAAAUUUGUAAAUGUAGUUGAAUCGAAGUAUUGUGGGGCCUUAAUUAGUUCAGAAGCACACGAGACAUAAAUGCAAUUCGUUGUCAUUCCCAACUCGUACUGUUAUUAGACUUGAACGGUGGAAUAGCUGGCGAUCCGAUAUGCGUAGAUAUGUUACACCCCGUGUAAACUUUAGACCGGAACUUCCUGAUCUCUAAAACAGAAGGUGCAGUAUAGGCGGAGACCUAAUUUCACAACUUUGUGGCGAGACCUUGUCUAAAAAGGAGUUGUAUAGGACCAUAUCACCACAAAUAUGACUUCGGAUGUGCCAGUUCUCCUCGCAGCAGUGUCGAUACUGUCUGCUCUCCACCUGGCAUUACAGGCAAG